Molecule: ribosomal RNA, 453 nt
Filed under: Triticum aestivum (bread wheat)
Lineage: Eukaryota; Viridiplantae; Streptophyta; Magnoliopsida; Poales; Poaceae
Description: partial small subunit ribosomal RNA
Source: RNAcentral
AUGCUCCCAAGGGGGCAUACCGCCCUCGUCCUGCUCGAGGGCGUAGUACCACGUCUGUGCGGCGCCCCAAAGGUGAUACGAGGUGAGCCACGUGCGAUCCGACGCGAGUGUGUGUUGCCCCCGGAAGAACUGCUCGCACUCGUUGAGCCAGUUGAGGGGUUCCUCAGUCCCGUUGUAGGUGGCGAAGUCCAGCGAAGCAUGGUGGCGUCUGGUUAUGACCGCCCUGGCCGUACAGCUCGGUGGCGCGGAGCAGCGAGGAGGGUGGCGCCCAGUCGAUGGGGUCGGCGCAUCCUGCGGAAGGACCCGCGGAGCCGGAUGGAUCGCCGAACUGCAAGGUGGGCGCCGGUUGUUCCCCGACCGAAGCGAACCUGCUGGAUCGGAACGCCUCCCUGCGUGGUCGGCCCUGACCCGGUGCUGAGUGGAGGAGGGGCCGGCAGCAGCGGCGGUUGCUAG